Molecule: ribosomal RNA, 1164 nt
Filed under: Triticum aestivum (bread wheat)
Lineage: Eukaryota; Viridiplantae; Streptophyta; Magnoliopsida; Poales; Poaceae
Description: partial small subunit ribosomal RNA
Source: RNAcentral
AUGCAGUGGAUACAGAACAUUGAACAAUAUUUCUCAGCUGCAAGGACACCAAUUGAACAAAGGACUAAGAUAACAGUUUCUUACUUGAAAGGAGAAGCUAUACAAUGGUGGAGAGGUAUUGGUUUCAUUGCUUAUCAUACUCCUUGGCACAAGUUCUGCUCUGCCGUUACACAAAGAUUUGCCAUAACAUCUGUGUAUGAAAAUGUGAAAGCCUUCCACAAGUUAACUCAGCAAACUUCAGUUACUCAAUACAUAGCUGAGUUUGAACAACAUAUGAACUUGAUGAGGAGGGACAACCCUGCAGUACCAGAUGACUAUUACAUGCAUAGUUUCAUUGCAGGCCUGAACCCUUAUAUCCAAAGUCACCUGGAAUGUUUAGAACCUACUGACAUGACCAAAGCUAUGUGGUUAGCCAGAAUAAUUGAGAAAUCUUGCCCUCCUCCUACUACUCAGAAGUCCUAUGUGCCCAACUAUAGAAGAGGAACUCCAAGGGAAGUUUCUAAACCUGUAGUUCCUGCAAGUACAUCUCCUGCUGCUGUUAUACAACAAGCUAGAGAAAAGGGCAUUUGUUAUAAAUGCAGCGAGCCAUGGUUUCCAGGGCACAAGCAGGUGUGCAAGAUGUCACAAAAAGCUCACAUUCAAGCACUGCAAGAACAAGUGGAAAAUCCUGACAUCAUCUACAUUGUAGAUGCAGAGGAGGUACAGUCAGAUGUGGAUGAAGAACCUCCUGAUCACCAAGAGCUCAAAAUUUCUAUGCAUGCUGCUACAGGAGUACCUGAAGACAAAAAGAAACACACUUUUACUCUGCAAGUCCAAAUUGGAAACACAGUAGGCCUGGCUUUAGUGGAUAGUGGAAGCACUACCACUUUCAUUUCCCCUGCUCUAGCUUUACAAUCUGGAUGCCCUGCCACACCAGUGAAACAAGUUCAAGUGACUGUAGCAAAUGGGGGAAAAUUAUACAGUGAUUUCUCUCUCUACAACACCAAAUACACUAUCCAAGGAGUGGAAUUAGAGUCUGAUUUCAGGAUGUUGAAACUCACUGGAUAUGAUAUCAUACUUGGAGCUGACUCGAUGUAUAAGCACAAUCUUGUCAUUUUUUAUCUGCCUAACAUGAAGUUGGGAAUCAAACAUUCCAAUGGAAAACAAAUAACCCUUCCUGGAUGA